UACGUAGGGGGCAAGCGUUGUCCGGAAUCAUUGGGCGUAAAGAGCGUGUAGGCGGCCAGAUAAGUCCGCUGUGAAAAACUCGAGGCUCAACUUCGAGCUGUCGGUGGAAACUAUUUGGCUAGAGUCCGGAAGAGGCGAGUGGAAUUCCUGGUGUAGCGGUGAAAUGCGUAGAGAUCCGGAGGAACACCAGAGGCGAAGGCGGCCUACUGGGUCAGUACUGACGCUGAGCCGCGAAAGCCAGGGGAAGCCGGAACGGGAUUAAGAUGAUCCCGAGUA
RNAcentral lists this ribosomal RNA (276 nucleotides) under uncultured bacterium. RNAcentral describes it as "partial 16S ribosomal RNA". It matches the Rfam family "Bacterial small subunit ribosomal RNA", at positions 524 to 792 of the family's 1533-position model. The record is from RNAcentral.